AUGGAGGGGCUCUGGGCUGGGGGCAAGGGGCAGAUGCAGCCACCCCUGGGGCCUCAGCCCUCUUGUUAUCUCUUCAUUGUCUCCUGUCUCCCCAGCCUACCCCCUCAUCAGUUGCCCUUCUGUCAUCUCCACAGGGUCCCCCUCGGCCAGCAGCCCAGACCUGGAACUCCAGAGGGAGCUUGUAAGAGGGUCCCCACAGGUUUCCCUGCUCUGGGGGGUCCUGAGACAGGUAACAAUGUUGAUGCUGCUGCUGAUGAUGCUGCUGCUGCUGCUGCUGAUGAUGAUGAUGAUAGCCACCAGAUAGGAAAUGCUAACUAUAGCCCAGGACCCAGGUACGUGCGUCAUAUUCAUGAUCUCAUUCACCCUCUUCAAAACAACCAAUAAGUAGGUGGAAUUAUGGACAUUGGGAAAACUUAGAUCCAAAUGGGGGAGUGACUUGCCCAAGGUCAAAGAGGUGGCAGAACCUGGAAUGAAACAAAAGUGUCUGAGCUGGGGUUCACACUUUUAAAAAUUAUGGGAUUUUAUGGGAAUAUCUACUCCUAUGCCAGAAGGGACACUGAAGCCAUUGGAAAGGAGUGUGGCCAGCUUGAAUCACACAGGAAAUGUAAGGACUAUUUGAUACAUGAAUGAAUGGGUGAAUGAAUGAAUGAAUGAAUGAAUGAAUGAAACCCAAACCUUGUGACUUGUGACUCAAGGUCCAAUAACUUGGCUGAUCCUCUGUUGAUGCUGACUUGGUGUAAUGAAGAAAGCACAUGAACAUGCCCGAGUGGGAACUAGUGACUUUUACCUGCCCAAUAUCCCUUCUCCUUUGUGGUGCCUGGUCCUCACCUGGUCUCAGUCCUUAUGUUUUCAGUGAGGCUGACCCUACCCUGAAGCUCCAAGGGAGAGACAUUGCCCAACCGUGGCCAAUCAGAGUAUAUUUUCUACCACAAGCUCUGUCCCCAGGCAUAAUGGAUUAUCCAGGGAUGGACAUGUGAUCCAAGCCAGGACAAUGAGACAAGUCUAGACUUUUUGCUGGAACUAUCAGAGAGAGAGAGAGAGAAAAAAAAAGAGUGUUCUCAAUUCCUGGGAUUGCUAAACUAAUGUAAUGUCAGUUUGCAGCUUCUGGUAGCCAUUUUUGUUGUUAUUGUUUGUUGUUGUUGUUCUAUUUUAUUUUAAAACAAAGAUGGGGUCUCCCUAUGUUACCCAGGCUGGUCUUGAACUUCUAGGCUCAAGUGAUCCUCCAGCCUUGGCCUCCCGAAGUGCUGGGAUUAUAGUACUGGGUUCAUACCCAGCCUGUGAGCCAUUUUGCCACCAAGAAUGGAGCCACAAAGAGUAACCACUAUAUCUAGCAACAUUGAACCCCUGGAUCCAGCUAUGCCUGAAGCCUGCAUAUACCCAGAGUUGUUUUCCAGUUACAUAAGUUUUAAUUGGUGUGGCAGAUGCUGCUGGUCACCUAUCAGAAUUCAUUUUCCCUUUCCAAUGCUAUUGGCAUUUCGUAUAGCAAUGCAGCUGUCUGAAACACUUGUUUGUACUUUUUGUACCUCUAAGGGGCCAUGUGACCCAGUUCUGGUUAAUGACUCCUUGGGAGAAAUGUCAUUCUCAAAUAAAAAGACAAGACCCUAAAAGAAAGCUCUUCGCCCUUUUGCCUUUUUCCUGCCUGAAUUACAAAUGCAAUGCCUAUCUUUGGAUUUCUUAAUACUUACAAAAAAUAAACACUUUGCUUAUUUAAGCUACUGUAUUUGCAUUUCAAGGAAGUAUAAUUCUAACUGAUAGAGUGGGGUUCCUGAUUUUGCAACUGAAAAACUCCUGCCUGAUAUGCUUUCUCCAAGAGAUGUAAGGAAUGUGAAGGAAGAAACUGGUAGGAUGAGAAGAAAUUGCUUUGACUUCUCUAUUUGCUCCAAGAUGAUCACCUACCUUGUUCACUCAUCUCUAUUACCUAGCAAAGAUAGCAAUCUGGAAGGACCAUAAAUUGUAGGUAGAUGGAGAAGAAAAUUGGCCUUUAGCAAGGACUGGCUCCAGGCAGUAUUUCAAAGCAGGAAAGGUGGAAAGGCUGUGGAAGAAACAUGUCAUAUCUCCAUCUACACAGGUACAAGAACCUGCCAUCUAAGCAACUCUCAGCACAACUUAUUGGUCCUGUGUCAUACUCUGUAAAGGACCCAUCAUCAACCAGAUGUUGGCCACUUCAUUAAAUUGCUCAGUACCUCCAUGAUACUGAGGGCUCAUGGGUCCAGGGGAACCAGGCCUCACUGCAUUUAGGGAGACCUGGCCUGUGAUGGAGCCACAUGAAACUGCUGAUCUUCAAACACUAUUCCAGGGCCAGGUGCCAGAGCCUGGCUUUAAUCCAGAGCUGGACUAGUCAGCCCCAGGAGAACCUGGGACAAAGCUGGUUGCACUGGGAUCAAGUGUGAGGAAGGUAGACUGAUUGGCUUCAGCUUCCUCAGAGAUUCUGCAAGAUUCUGCAAGAGACCUAGGCAGAGACCAGACGCAGAUUCUGCAAGAGACCUAAGAUUGAAUCUUAGACUCUUGGAGCAAGAGAAUUUUAAAAACUAGCUCAAGAGACAUUUAGAACCAUAUUAUUUUAGAAGACUCAACAAUAACAUCUAAAAUUAUAGAAUUCAGCCAGGCAUGGUGGCUCACCCCUGUAAUCCCAGCACUCUGGGAGGCAAAGGCGGGCAGAUCACGAGGUCAAGAGAUAGAGACAAUCCUGGCCAUCAUGGUGAAAACCCGUCUCUACUAAAAAUACAAAAAAUAGCUGGGCGUGGUGGCACAUGCCUGUAGUCCCAGCUACUCGGGAGACUGAGGCAGGAGAAUCGCUUGAACCAGGGAGGCAGAGGUUGCAGUGAACAGAGAUCAUGCCACUGCUUUCCAUCCUGUGUGGCAGAGUGAGACUCCGUAUCUAAAAUAUUAGACCAAUAAACUCUAAAAUUCUAGCUUUAUAGGAAACUUAGAACCACAGAAUUUUAGAACUAGAGAA
Molecule: long non-coding RNA, 2956 nt
Organism: Macaca mulatta (Rhesus monkey)
Lineage: Eukaryota; Metazoa; Chordata; Mammalia; Primates; Cercopithecidae
Source: Ensembl